GACGAACGCUGGCGGCGUGCUUAACACAUGCAAGUCGAGCGGUAAGGCCCUUUCGGGGGUACACGAGCGGCGAACGGGUGAGUAACACGUGGGUGACCUGCCCUCAGCUCUGGGAUAAGCCCGGGAAACUGGGUCUAAUACCGGAUAUGACUUCAUGACGCAUGUUGUGGAGUGGAAAGCCUUGUGCGGCUGAGGAUGGGCCCGCGGCCUAUCAGCUUGUUGGUGGGGUGANGGCCUACCAAGGCGACGACGGGUAGCCGGCCUGAGAGGGCGACCGGCCACACUGGGACUGAGAUACGGCCCAGACUCCUACGGGAGGCAGCAGUGGGGAAUCUUGCGCAAUGGG
This 346-nucleotide ribosomal RNA is filed under the name uncultured bacterium. RNAcentral describes it as "bacterial SSU rRNA". It matches the Rfam family "Bacterial small subunit ribosomal RNA", at positions 28 to 375 of the family's 1533-position model. The record is from RNAcentral.